GCAAACCCUCCGCAAUGGCGCACCGACGUCACUGCUCAAGGUUUAUCUGUCUUGGGCUUGGCAUGGACUCUUGACUUGGCCGCUUUGUUUCUUUGGUUUCAUUCUCUGUGCAUCGUACAUUCGAACAGCCGUUAUGUUAUUGCUAAGACUGAAACAAAGCAUGUGAACAUUUCUUUGGCACGGCGUCAUUUGGAAAGCGCACUUUCUUGUGCUCACCUUGACUUUUAUGAGCUGAAGCGAUAUGAUACGUGAUAUGCCACGGCGAAGAUGUCUAGAAUCCGACGGUGCUACGCUGUUAGAAGAAUUGAUCGGAGCAUUCAAGUGGUUACCUAUUAUGCGUUCCUCAAAGACCAAGCAAUGCUAAUCGCUUGGCUGACAGAGACAGCCGUGAGGACUGAGUUCCACUCUAAGGAUGUCGUCCGAAAAUGUGAUCAUAGGAUACGCGCGGCUCCGGAGGCAAAUUGGAAUCUUGGCACGAAAUCAUCUGAAGUGAGAUAACCGACACACAAAUUUGGAACGUGCCACGGAGGAUCAAGGCGAAAAACGAGAGCUAAGGUAAGUCGGCGUUCGGAUAUCAAAAUAGGAAGCUUCAUGAAUCGAUUGUGCAGCUGUCAUACUGCGCUUCCUCUGAUAUAGUCACGAUUAACAACACAACAGUAUUGAUAAUCUAACUUCUGAAUUACCACAGGUGCACGCUGAAGGCGGAAAUGAAGCAGGGUCAGGCUUGCAUCUGGUGCAUGAAGACAUUGAUGACACGUUAGUUGCAGUCUAGCUGCCACCAACAGACAUCUUGGCACCACUCUUAAAUCUGCCCUCAACAUUGCAACCUCUGCUUUAAUAGUGGAAAACAAAGGUCGCCAUUCCGAUUAACUGCUAUCUCCCAGUCCAAACACUUUUGCUGUCCAAACUCUGUUUCCUGUGGACGGGGUGGUACAAGCGCUUCACUGUCGCAUAUAGAAGAAGAAGAAAAGACCAGAGAAAAACACGAAAACAGCGAUCUGGAAGGCUGUCUCUUCUAGUGCUGGCAUGGAGGCAAUACAAUGAGGUAACAUGUUCCAUUCAUGAACGGUACAU
Molecule: long non-coding RNA, 1074 nt
Organism: Ornithodoros turicata
Lineage: Eukaryota; Metazoa; Arthropoda; Arachnida; Ixodida; Argasidae
Exons: 3
Source: RefSeq, a predicted model, not a curated record